RNAcentral lists this ribosomal RNA (520 nucleotides) under uncultured prokaryote. Its description in RNAcentral is "bacterial SSU rRNA". It matches the Rfam family "Bacterial small subunit ribosomal RNA", at positions 401 to 905 of the family's 1533-position model. The record is from RNAcentral.
GCAGGGUUUCUAAUUUCUAAAGGCUGUGACCGGAUGGCCUCCCUCCUAAAAAAGGAAUAUCCUCUGCCUUUCUAAUAAAGGAGGUGCAUUACGGUACCCUAAUAAUAAGCACCGGCUAACUACGUGCCAGCAACCGCGGUAAUACGUAGGGUGCAAGCGUUAAUCGGAAUUACUGGGCGUAAAGCGUGCGCAGGCGGUUAUGUAAGACAGAUGUGAAAUCCCCGGGCUCAACCUGGGAACUGCAUUUGUGACUGCAUAGCUAGAGUACGGCAGAGGGGGAUGGAAUUCCACGUGUAGCAAUGAAAUGCGUAGAUAUGUGGAGGAACACCGAUGGCGAAGGCAAUCCCCUGGGCCCUGUACUGACGCUCAUGCACGAAAGCUUGGGGAGCAAACAUGAUUAGAUACCCUGGUAGUCCACCCCCUAAACGAUGUCAACUGUUUGUUGGGAUUGCACUAAUCAAUAACCAUCUAACUCCUGAAAAUUACCCCCUGGGAGAACCCCCCAAGCUCAAAACUCAAA